This 315-nucleotide ribosomal RNA is filed under the name uncultured bacterium. RNAcentral describes it as "bacterial SSU rRNA". It matches the Rfam family "Bacterial small subunit ribosomal RNA", at positions 28 to 334 of the family's 1533-position model. The record is from RNAcentral.
GAUAAACGCUGGCGGCGCACAUAAGACAUGCAAGUCGAACGGACUCAACCAUUAGUUUACUAUUGGAGCGGUUAGUGGCGGACUGGUGAGUAACACGUAAGCAACCUGCCUAUCAGAGGGGAACAACAGUUAGAAAUGACUGCUAAUACCGCAUAUGCCAUGAAUAUCACAUGAUAAAAAUGGGAAAGGAGAAAUCCGCUAAUAGAUGGGCUCGCGUCUGAUUAGAUAGUUGGUGGGGUAACGGCCUACCAAGUCAACGAUCAGUAGCCGGACUGAGAGGUUGAACGGCCACAUUGGGACUGAGAUACGGCCCAG